This 349-nucleotide unclassified non-coding RNA is filed under the name soil metagenome. RNAcentral's name for it is "partial contains 5.8S ribosomal RNA, internal transcribed spacer 2, and large subunit ribosomal RNA". The stretch from base 1 to 121 matches the Rfam family "5.8S ribosomal RNA", at positions 35 to 154 of the family's 154-position model. The record is from RNAcentral.
GAUGAAGAACGCAGCGAAAUGCGAUAAGUAAUGCGAAUUGCAGAAUUUCCGUGAACCAUCGAAUCUUUGAACGCACAUUGCGCCCGCUGGAACUCCGGCGGGCACGCCUGUCCGAGCGUCAUUUCAACCCUCAGGCCCCCCUUCGCGGGCGGGCCUGGUGUUGGGGCCCGGCCGCUACCCUGCGGCCGUCCCCUAAAUUCAGUGGCGGCCUCGCCGUGAUCCCUUGCGUAGUAAUGCACCUCGCACCGGAGAGCGCCGUGGCCACGCCGUAAAACCCCCAAUUUUCAAUGGUUGACCUCGGAUCAGGUGGGAAUACCCGCUGAACUUAAGCAUAUCAAUAAGCGGAGGA